AUUGAACGCUGGCGGCAUGCCUUACACAUGCAAGUCGAACGGUAACAGGUUAAGCUGACGAGUGGCGAACGGGUGAGUAAUAUAUCGGAACGUGCCCAGUCGUGGGGGAUAACGUAGCGAAAGCUACGCUAAUACCGCAUACGAUCUACGGAUGAAAGCGGGGGAUCGCAAGACCUCGCGCGAUUGGAGCGGCCGAUAUCAGAUUAGGUUGUUGGUGAGGUAAAAGCUCACCAAGCCUGCGAUCUGUAGCUGGUCUGAGAGGACGACCUGCCACACUGGAACUGAGACACGGUCCAGACUCCUACGGGAGACAGCAGUGGGGAAUUUUGGACAAUGGACGCAAGUCUGAUCCAGCAAUGCCGCGUGCAGGACGAAGGCCUUCGGGUUGUAAACUGCUUUUGUACGGAACGAAACGGUGAGCUCUAAUACAGUUUGCUAAUGACGGUACCGUAAGAAUAAGCACCGGCUAACUACGUGCCAGCAGCCGCCGUAA
Molecule: ribosomal RNA, 493 nt
Filed under: uncultured bacterium
Lineage: Bacteria
Description: partial 16S ribosomal RNA
Rfam family: Bacterial small subunit ribosomal RNA
Source: RNAcentral